Molecule: ribosomal RNA, 973 nt
Filed under: Costasiella sp. Cos1
Lineage: Eukaryota; Metazoa; Mollusca; Gastropoda; Costasiellidae
Description: partial 16S ribosomal RNA
Rfam family: Archaeal large subunit ribosomal RNA (bases 430-973)
Source: RNAcentral
UUUAACAAUUAUUUUUCUUAAUAAAUUUUACUUAUUUGUUGGACAGCAAUGGAUAGUUUAGGUAUUAUUUAGAUAUUAGUAUUAUCCUUUUUGCAUAACGGAAAAACUACAAUAUAAGGAUAUCUCUAUUUCCCGAAAGUAGAAGAUCUAUAAGAUUAAUAGUUUUAGCUUGGAUUUUUUGUGUUGCAUUACAAUUUCAAUAUUUUCUUAUAGGGGUGAAAUGCUUACAAUUCUACUGAUAUCUGGAUUUAGAUCAAGAGUAUUAAGUACUUAAUACAAUUAAUUAGCGUUUAGGUUGAUUAAAGAGAGAACUAUUUAAAUUCUAACUUUUAGAUUAGGGUUAAUAACUCAAUCCCAUCCAAAGGACUUCAUAAUUUCUUUAAUCUUGAGUCUCUCGUUUGAUUUAAGUUUGAAAGUAAUUUAACUGUCAAUCCAUAAUGUUUUUAUUAGUAAAAUUCACUCAGAUUACUUUUAAUAAAUAGAAUAAAGGAACUCGGCAAAAAUAUGCUUCAACUGUUUAUCAAAAACAUAGCCUUAAGAUUAAUGAAUUCAUUUAAGGUGAAACCUGCCCAGUGCGUUGAGUAAACGGCCGCAGUACCUUGACUGUGCUAAGGUAGCAUAAUCAGUUGGCUUUUAAAUGGAGUCGGGUAUGAAUGGGAUAAUGUGGCUAAGCUGUCUUUAUUUUACUUAAUUAAAUUUACUUAUCAGGUGAAAAUUCCUGAAAACUAAGAAAUUAGACGAGAAGACCCUAGGAGUUUUUAUUAAAGUUAAAAUAUUUUAAUCUUGUAUUUUUGUUGGGGCGACAGAAGGAAAAUGAGAUCUCCUUUUAAUUAUAGGCCGACUAAGUAAGAAAAGUUAAACUACCCUAGGGAUAACAGCGUAAUCCAUUUGUGGGUUUGCGACCUCGAUGUUGGACUAGGAAUUAUUUAGGUUAGCCGCCUAAAUAACUUGUUCUGUUCGAACUUAAUUUCCU